This 981-nucleotide ribosomal RNA is filed under the name Agrococcus sp. BE272. Its description in RNAcentral is "partial 23S ribosomal RNA". It matches the Rfam family "Bacterial large subunit ribosomal RNA", at positions 1 to 936 of the family's 2925-position model. Lineage: Bacteria; Bacillati; Actinomycetota; Actinomycetes; Micrococcales; Microbacteriaceae. The record is from RNAcentral.
GGUCAAGUUUCUAAGAGCAAACGGUGGAUGCCUUGGCAUCUGGAGCCGAUGAAGGACGUAGUAAUCUGCGAUAAGCCUCGGGGAGCUGAUAAACGAGCUUUGAUCCGAGGAUCUCCGAAUGGGGAAACCCCGCUGGGCGGCGUGCCGACCCAGUGACUCCCGCCUGAAUAUAUAGGGCGGGUAGAGGGAACGUGGGGAAGUGAAACAUCUCAGUACCCACAGGAAGAGAAAACAACAGUGAUUCCGUAAGUAGUGGCGAGCGAACGCGGAAGAGGCUAAACCGAUCGUGUGUGAUAGCCGGCAGGCGUUGCACGAUCGGGGUUGUGGGACAUCUCAGCUGCUCUGCCGAGCAGCAAGCGUUACAGACCGCGGUAGGCGAAGAGCUUGGAAAGGCUCAUCGAAGAGGGUGACAAUCCCGUAGCCGAAACCGCGCAAUGGCGCGAGGUCCAUCCCAAGUAGCACGGGGCCCGAGAAAUCCCGUGUGAAUCAGCCAGGACCACCUGGUAAGCCUAAAUACUCCCAGAUGACCGAUAGCGGACAAGUACCGUGAGGGAAAGGUGAAAAGUACCCCGGGAGGGGAGUGAAAUAGUACCUGAAACCGUUUGCUUACAAACCGUUGGAGCAGCCCUAGCAGCUGUGACAGCGUGCCUUUUGAAGAAUGAGCCUGCGAGUUAGCGAUAUGUGGCGAGGUUAACCCGUGUGGGGUAGCCGUAGCGAAAGCGAGUCUGAAUAGGGCGAUUCAGUCGCAUGUCCUAGACCCGAAGCGAAGUGAUCUAUCCAUGGCCAGGUUGAAGCGAGGGUAAGACCUCGUGGAGGACCGAACCCACUUAGGUUGAAAACUGAGGGGAUGAGCUGUGGAUAGGGGUGAAAGGCCAAUCAAACUUCGUGAUAGCUGGUUCUCUCCGAAAUGCAUUUAGGUGCAGCGUUGCGUGUUUCUUGCCGGAGGUAGAGCUACUGGAUGGCCGAUGGGCCCCAAAAGGU